RNAcentral lists this ribosomal RNA (1194 nucleotides) under Triticum aestivum (bread wheat). Its description in RNAcentral is "partial small subunit ribosomal RNA". Lineage: Eukaryota; Viridiplantae; Streptophyta; Magnoliopsida; Poales; Poaceae. The record is from RNAcentral.
AUGGCCUCAAGCUCCGCCGCCGCCGCCGCUGCACCAGCCCUCAUUCCCAUCGCCGAACGCCUCCAUCGCUCCAACUUCCUGGUGUGGCGUGCUCAAGCCAUUGCUGCCAUCCGCGGUGCUCAGCUCGUCGCCUACAUCAACCCCGACAGAGAAGAGUCGGCGCCCAAGCUCAUGGACAAGGAGGGCAAGCCAACAGAUGCGCCCAAUCCGGCGUACGAGAUCGCCAGGGCGCAGGAUUCCCAGGUUCUGAGUUUUCUGUUCAAUUCAGUCUCACCUCCUGUGAUGAUCCAGAUCGCCCACUGCACCACGGCCUCGGCAACAUGGACUGCCAUCACGGAGAUGUUCAUCUCCAAAACCCAGGCUCACGUGGUGAACACGAGGAUCGCCCUGUCAAACACCAAGAAGGGCACAUCCACUAUCGCCGAGUACAUCGGCCGCAUGAAGGCGCUCGGAGACGAGCUAGCUUCCGUUGGGAAGCCCCUCACCGACGAUGACAUGGUGUCAUACAUACUUGCCGGCCUCGACUUCGACUACAUGGGCUUAGUCUCCUCCCUGUGUGCCAGGGCCGAGCCGAUCAAGGUGAACGAGCUCUACUCCCUCCUCGUCGGCUUCGAGAACAGGCUCGCCAUGUUUGAUGGCGGGCAUCAAUCCUCUCACUCCUCCGCCAACGCCGUCUCCCGUGGUGGUGGCCGUGGCGGACGAGGGGGUGGACGUGGAGGUGGCCGCAGAGGUGGAGGCGGCGGCCGCGGGCAAGGCCAUGGAGGUUGCGGCCAAGGAGGAGGCCGCAACGAUCUCCGUGAGGUCUUCUGUCAGAUCUGCUCCAAGCCCAACCAUGUUGCUAUGGAGUGCUACCGUCGCUUCGACAUCGCGUUCACCAAGGAGAAGAGCGCAGCGGCUGUCAACACCAACACCAGCUCCUACGGGGAGAGCGUGCGCGCGAGAGAGCGCUGCUCCCGUCUUCCAGCGAACCCCAAGGAGAGCAGAGGAGGAGAUGACCAAGGGCGAGGAUGUGUGGCAGCAGGUCGACAUCAUGGGCAACUACCAGGCCACCAGGGCAACCGCACCACGCCCUCCUACGUCGCCUUCACCGACACUGAACGCCUCACCAGCGACGCCGCCAAGAACCAGGUCGCAAUGAACCCCACCAACACCGUCUUCGGUUCGCCGCGGUUGAGUACUGGAGAUGGAGUGUGA